CUAGUGUCCUCGCGAAGGGUGCGGAGCACCCUAACUCGCACUCGCACUCGCACUCGCACACGCUCGCGCGCGCGCGCGUGGCGUGGGCGAUGAGGCGCAAUGUGGCGCUUUGAUGGCGCACUUUGCACUUCGCACGCUCGCAUCGCCGCUUGAGAGCCGCCUUUGUAUUUUUGACCGCGCGCGCGUGGUAAAGCACAAGGGUUGCAAGGACCAAGUGGUAGGUGAUGCGGCGCAUGACGUGGCAGUCAUGCGCAUGCGCGCGCGGGUACACGAGGCGCGCGCAUGGUGCAUGGUCCUGCUGUGUCGUGCGUGGCGCACCAGAGUGAGCCAAUGCGGCGCGACUGUGUGGCGCGCACGUAUAGGCUCACAGGUGACGUGGCGCACGCCGCAUGGCAGUGAGCCAAGAGGCCGCACGCCGCAUGGCAGUGAGCCACAAAGCCGCACCGCGCAUGAGCGCGCAUGGACAUGGGCCAGUGUGGCGCACGCCGCAUGGCAGUGAGCCAAGAUGCCGCACCGCGCAUGGGCGCGCGACGCGCGCAGAAGCUUCCAGCAUUGAAUGACUAGGCAGUUUCAGUCCAGCUUCGUAACUGACGAG
This 595-nucleotide long non-coding RNA is filed under the name Helianthus annuus (common sunflower). Its description in RNAcentral is "hypothetical non coding rna". The record is from RNAcentral. Lineage: Eukaryota; Viridiplantae; Streptophyta; Magnoliopsida; Asterales; Asteraceae.